GGAUUAGGCAUGCAAGUCGAACGUGAAGCCGGUGCUUGCACCGGUGGAAAGUGGCGAACGGGUGAGUAACACGUGAGAAACCUGCCCCGGAGACUGGGACAACCAUUGGAAACGAUGGCUAAUACCGGAUGUCCUCAGAUGGUCGCAUGACCGACUGAGGAAAUGCUCUGGCGCUCUGGGAGGGUCUCGCGGCCUAUCAGUUAGUUGGUGGGGUAACGGCCUACCAAGACAUCGACGGGUAGCUGGUCUGAGAGGACGAUCAGCCACACUGGGACUGAGACACGGCCCAGACUCCUACGGGAGGCAGCAGUGGGGAAUAUUGCGCAAUGGGCGAAAGCCUGACGCAGCAACGCCGCGUGAGGGAUGACGGCUUUCGGGUUGUAAACCUCUUUCAGUGAUGACGAAAAUGACGGUAGUCACAGAAGAAGGUCCGGCCAACUACGUGCCAGCAGCCGCGGUAACACGUAGGGACCAAGCGUUGUCCGGAUUUAUUGGGCGUAAAGAGCUCGUAGGCUGUUGCGUAAGUCGGAUGUGAAAACUCAGGGCUCAACCCUGAGACGCCAUCCGAUACUGCGCUGACUAGAGUCCGGUAGGGGAGCAUGGAAUUCCUGGUGUAGCGGUGAAAUGCGCAGAUAUCAGGAGGAACACCAGUGGCGAAGGCGGUGCUCUGGGCCGGAACUGACGCUGAGGAGCGAAAGCAUGGGGAGCAAACAGGAUUAGAUACCCUGGUAGUCCAUGCCGUAAACGUUGGGCACUAGGUGUGGGGUCUUCUUAACGGAUUCCGUGCCGUAGCUAACGCAUUAAGUGCCCCGCCUGGGGAGUACGGCCGCAAGGCUAAAACUCAAAGGAAUUGA
This 854-nucleotide ribosomal RNA is filed under the name uncultured Acidimicrobiales bacterium. RNAcentral describes it as "bacterial SSU rRNA". It matches the Rfam family "Bacterial small subunit ribosomal RNA", at positions 46 to 913 of the family's 1533-position model. The record is from RNAcentral. Lineage: Bacteria; Bacillati; Actinomycetota; Acidimicrobiia; Acidimicrobiales.